CCUACGGGAGGCAGCAGUGGGGAAUAUUGCGCAAUGGGGGAAACCCUGACGCAGCGACGCCGUGUGAGUGAUGAAGGUUUUCGGAUCGUAAAGCUCUGUCAGGUGGGAAGAAUAAGGUCUGUGAAAAUAUUGCAGUCCGAUGACGGUACCACCAGAGGAAGCACCGGCUAACUCCGUGCCAGCAGCCGCGGUAAUACGGAGGGUGCAAGCGUUGUUCGGAAUUAUUGGGCGUAAAGGGCGUGCAGGCGGGUAUGCAGGUCAGGUGUGAAAUCCCUCGGCUCAACCGAGGAAGUGCAUCUGAAACCGUGUAUCUUGAGUACGAGAGAGGCAGAUGGAAUUCCCAGUGUAGAGGUGAAAUUCAUAGAUAUUGGGAAGAACACCGGUGGCGAAAGCGGUCUGCUGGCUCGAUACUGACGCUGAGACGCGAAAGCGUGGGGAGCAAACAGGAUUAGAUACCCUGGUAGUCCACGCCGUAAACGAUGUGCACUAGGUGUUGGGGGUAAUUAAACCUUCAGUGCCGCAGCUAACGCAUUAAGUGCACCGCCUGGGGAUUACGGUCGCAAGACUAAAACUCAAAGGAAUGACGGAAUCUCGACCGCGGGACACGU
RNAcentral lists this ribosomal RNA (608 nucleotides) under uncultured delta proteobacterium. Its description in RNAcentral is "bacterial SSU rRNA". It matches the Rfam family "Bacterial small subunit ribosomal RNA", at positions 338 to 942 of the family's 1533-position model. The record is from RNAcentral. Lineage: Bacteria; Deltaproteobacteria.